UCCAGACUCCUACGGGAGGCAGCAGUGGGGGAUAUUGCACAAUGGGGGGAACCCUGAUGCAGCGACGCCGCGUGGGUGAAGGAGCGUUUCGGCGCGUAAAGCCCUCUCGGCAGGGAAGAAGGAGGACGGUACCUGACUAAGAAGCCCCGACUAACUACGUGCCAGCAGCCGCGGUAAUACGUAGGGGGCAAGCGUUAUCCGGAUUUACUGGGUGUAAAGGGGGCGCAGACGGCAGCGCAAGCCAGGAGUGAAAGCCCGGGGCCCAACCCCGGGACUGCUCUUGGAACUGCGCGGCUGGAGUGCAGGAGGGGCAGGCGGAAUUCCUGGUGUAGCGGUGAAAUGCGUAGAUAUCAGGAGGAACACCGGUGGCGAAGGCGGCCUGCUGGACUGCGACUGACGUUGAGGCCCGAAAGCGUGGGGAGCAAACAGGAUUAGAUACCCCUGUA
This 446-nucleotide ribosomal RNA is filed under the name uncultured bacterium. Its description in RNAcentral is "partial 16S ribosomal RNA". It matches the Rfam family "Bacterial small subunit ribosomal RNA", at positions 330 to 792 of the family's 1533-position model. The record is from RNAcentral.